GCGUUGGGUUUUUUCUGUCAUUCAUUUAGUCCUAACAAUGAAGAGGUAUUAACAUUUUCAUAAAAAAAAUGAUAAUUUCUGGCUGAUGUUCAGAGACAAUAAUUCCAAUGUUGAAUUUUUUUUCAUUGGUCAGUAACAAUGUUUCUGUUUAUGACUAUAAGGUAUUGAUUUUUCUCGUUUUUGAAGACUGUGCAGUGUCAUGUAAUUAUUCAUAUCUAUG
RNAcentral lists this long non-coding RNA (220 nucleotides) under Mytilus galloprovincialis (Mediterranean mussel). The record is from RNAcentral. Lineage: Eukaryota; Metazoa; Mollusca; Bivalvia; Mytilida; Mytilidae.